This 2808-nucleotide long non-coding RNA is filed under the name Medicago truncatula (barrel medic). RNAcentral's name for it is "long non-coding RNA (MTRU_LNC008286)". The record is from RNAcentral. Lineage: Eukaryota; Viridiplantae; Streptophyta; Magnoliopsida; Fabales; Fabaceae.
UUCCUUCACAGCCUGUCAAACCUAAAUUAUUACCUCAACAACAUGAUUAAUAUUCCAGUUUUUAUAUAAAAAAUUGUUCACCUGGUUGCUUUGUUGAUGUUUCAAACCUAAAGAAUAUGAACUGCCAAGUGUCUUCAUGCUGUCUAUGACCUAUCUCCAAAUUCUUCAGUACUUGGAUUCAUCCGUCCUUUUAUUUUUAUUUUUUCCAACCAUGAUUCAAGGAAAACCAUAAAGAUAUUAAUCAUCCACUUGUGUUAUAUUAGUAUUGGUUUAAUAGUAUUAAACUUUAUGGAUAAAAAUGUUGGCAUGAGUGAAGAACAUGUUCAAUGAACUUCUUCAAACAAAGCUGCAAUUUUGCUACUUCUUACAACAGGUGAUCUUUUACAUCAACUUUAAAGCAUAUAUAUCUUUUCCUAAUCAUAAUUCAUAACCCUUUUUUUCUUUUCUUGAGUACUCUUUUUUCUUCACUCAAAUAACAUGAAGGUGUUGAAGUUCUUAGAUUUAAUGCUUCUUGAGUACUUCAUUAACUGAGAAAGUUGAUGCAUAAUUUUUUUUCAAGAAUAGCAUAAAAAGAAAUUUUUUUCUUACAUGGACAUGUCUUUAACAUUUAAAUUUAAACUAUGAAGCACGGACACUCAUCAGAUUGGGCGUGUCCCGGUGUCGGAUAUGUGUCGUGUCUGGUGUCCGUGUUUGUAUCCGUGCUUCAUAGAGCUUAAGUGUAUAUAUAUGUGAAGGGUGUAAUCUUUUAAUUUAUUUUUUUGAAUCUUCAUUUGAGCUUCAAUAUGUAUGUAUAAAGUUUUGCUGUUAUUGCUCUUGGAAAAGAAAAAUAAACAACUUUUUUCUUUUCACUUGAGACAUGCUUUAUGAGAAACAAACACAAUACUUUUCUGUGCACAGUUUCUAGUAAUAGUGGAUGAAGACCACAGUAAUGGUCCUAGUUUUGUGACAGACACACAUAAAUGCCUGCAUAUAAUGUUCAUUCAUCAUCAAAGUUUCUGGAAAUGUUUUGUUUACACUUUUGAACUUUUUUUAAGAAAAUUCUCUCUGACUAGUUCUUCUUCUAUUUUUGGUUUAGUAAAGUUUCCUCUGUUUUGACAAAUUUACUCAAACAAGAAACUAGUACUGUUUCUAUUUUAUUUUUUGAAAAGGCUAAAAUGUUAGUACAGUUGCUAUAUAUGGCUUGAAUCUAUGCAUACAAAAAGGCAGCAACAAAAUCUUGCAAGAUAAUAUUUUCAGAUCAUGGUUUGAAUUUCUAUUGUUGGUGUCAAAAUAUUCUUAGAAUAAGGUUUCCAUUAAUAUUUAGUGUUUGGAUAUUUAGAUCCACUUUUCAAAUUAUUUCUUCACAAAAUUAAAUAAUAUUAAUUCUCUUAAGCACAAACAGAAAGGGGAUUUAUUUUUGCAAUUGUUGUUUCCUAUUAGACUUGUUAGUCUCUAAAAUCAGUUAUAAACAAUUUACAAUUGUGUUAUGUAGCACUGACACUUCAGAUGGAAGACGUAUAUAGUGACUGACACGUAUUGGUGUCGGACACCAACAUAUGUACUUAUAUUCCAUCCUUUUAUUUUCUCAAAUUAUUACCGGUGCCGACAUAUCAAUAUGAGUAUCGUGUCUGAUAUUCAUGGCUUUGAAUGACUAACUUAAUAACAAUUGUAAACUGUUUCUUAACUGAUUUAACUAACUAACUAACAAAUCUAAUAAUGUCUGUUACAUUACAUUUACUAGGUCUAAAAUUUAAAGUCUUAUGAUCUCCUACACUUCAAUCUGAUUGAAGUCGUGUCUGGUGUUUGAGACUGACAUGACAUCGACAUAUGUUGCUACAUUCAAUUGUCGAAGUGUCAAUGUCUAGUUCAGUGUCUGUGCUUCAUAGUUUAUGAUCGUUAGAAACAAGCUUGUAAGUUUUUUAUUUUUUUGGAAACUCAUUAUUUGGUCCAAACUUAUAAGUAUCGAUUUACAUUUCAGGAAUGGGAACAAAAAUUGAAUAUUCCAUAAAUCCUCUAGCAUACUCAAAAGAUUGCAACAACUUCACUGUGGUUGGUGUUGAUGCCUGGGAGCAUUAUCAGAACAAAGGAUUGAAAGUGAGUAACAAACAUUGCAGUAUUGGAGUUAAUAACUUGCAAAAUCCAAUGGAUAGAAUACUUGACAGAAACAACAUGGAAUCCAUUAGAAAGACAAUGCAGAUACAAGAGGACAUCUUCAAAAACCAGGUAUCAUAUCAAUGUAGUAAGUAUGCUUUAUCAUGCAAAAUUCAAGUUUCCAUUCAAUUUGUACCAUAAGGUUGCAUAGCAUGAUAUGUAACAUUACUUGUGUCAAUUUUAUUAGAACCUAUUGUCAUUUACCAACUAUGAAGCACGAACACUCUUCGAAUUAGGCGUGUCCCUGUGUCGGACACAAUACGCCUACACGACACUGUCACAUAUAAUUACACUGAAUUAUGUAAUUUUCUCAAAAUUUUAGCUGUAUCGGCGUGUCAGUGUCUGGUGUCAGUGCCCGUAUCCGUGCUUCAUAGUUUACCAAGUAUGUUUUUGUUUGAUGCAUGAUAUGCAAUUAAUUGAAGUUGUGAUUAGUUUGAAAAAUUAUUAAUUAGUAUUUGAACAUUUGUAGGUAAAGGAACUACAUAGAGUAUACAAUGUGCAAAAAAUGCUAAUGGAUGAACACAAAAAUGAAGGCAAUCAAAAUAAAUUUUGGACCCCUAUGAAUGGUAUAAACCAACCUUAUUUUGUUCAACAACAAAAACCAACACAAAUUUCAUUUAGCCAUGUCCAAAUUUUGAAAGAGGAAUUAUACAUAAAGGAAAGAAGUGGAAGUUGUUC